GGGAGGCAAAAAUAGUACAAGAUAGAGAUGCUCAAUCUGUAGCUCAUGAGGAAAAGAUUCACGAAUAUACAGUAACUAAUCAGAGAUGGAGGUAACCUAUCAACCAGAAUGUGACAAUGUAAGGAACUUUGGAAUAGGCAGAAAAGAGGACUUGUUGUCUCUAAUAAAAAGCUAUGCAUUUUUAGUGCACACUCUUACAGGUAAUCUAAAUCUAACUCUAUCAUUGCCUUUGAGCUACUUUACAACUCUGUAAGUUGUAGAUAACUGAUAUUAAUGCAAAAUAAUUCUUGUAUAAACAUGAAAAUUAAUUAUAUUCAGUGAAAGUUCCAUUGAUUUUCCUCUUCCAUUGUGCAGGAAGCCAGUUAUUUUUCCAUUUGCACUUUCAUUUCAAUAUUUCUGAUAUAUAAAUAUGUCUGUUGGAUUAUCCUUUCAACUGCUUAUAAUAUCUUACCAUUUCCUUCAUUUAAAAAAUUAAUCAACUAUAAGAUUUAACACAUGCUUAUUUUUAAAAAAAAAUUUUAACUGUUCUCUCUGGAAAGACACCAUAAAGUUGAAGACAAACAGAAAAAAAAAAGUAUAACUUUUUUUGUUUGUUUGUUUGUUUUUUUUAAUUUAUUUAUUUUUUUUUAUUGAUCAUUCUUGGGUGUUUCUCGCAGAGGGGGAUUUGGCAGGGUCAUAGGACAAUAGUGGAGGGAAGGUCAGCAGAUAAACAAGUGAACAAAGGUCUCUGGUUUUCCUAGGCAGAGGACCCUGCGGCCUUGGCCUUCCGCAGUGUUUGUGUCCCUGGGUACUUAAGAUUAGGGAGUGGUGAUGACUCUUAACGAGCAUGCUGCCUUCAAGCAUCUGUUUAACAAAGCACAUCUUGCACCGCCCUUAAUCCAUUUAAACCUGAGUGGACACAGCACAUGUUUCAGAGAGCACAGGGUUGGGGAUAAGGUCACAGAUCAACAGGAUCCCAAGGCAGAAGAAUUUUUCUUAGUACAGAACAAAAUGAAAAGUCUCCCAUGUCUACUUCUAUCCACACAGACCCGGCAACCAUCCGAUUUCUCAAUUUUUUCCCCACCCUUCCCGCCUUUCUAUUCCACAAAACCGCCAUUGUCAUCAUGGCCCAUCCCCAAUGAGCCGCUGGGCACACCUCCCAGACGGGGUCGUGGCCGGGCAGAGGGGCUCCUCACUUCCCAGUAGGGGCGGCCGGGCAGAAGCGCCCCUCACCUCCCGGAUGGGGCGGCUGGCCGGGCGGGGGGCUGACCCCCCCACCACCCUCCCGGACGGGGCGGCUGGCCAGGCAGAGGGGCUCCUCACUUCCCAGUAGGGACGGCCGGGCAGAG
This 1328-nucleotide long non-coding RNA is filed under the name Homo sapiens (human). RNAcentral describes it as "HSALNT0358330". Lineage: Eukaryota; Metazoa; Chordata; Mammalia; Primates; Hominidae. The record is from RNAcentral.